This 528-nucleotide ribosomal RNA is filed under the name Streptococcus sp. W23. RNAcentral describes it as "bacterial SSU rRNA". It matches the Rfam family "Bacterial small subunit ribosomal RNA", at positions 8 to 524 of the family's 1533-position model. Lineage: Bacteria; Bacillati; Bacillota; Bacilli; Lactobacillales; Streptococcaceae. The record is from RNAcentral.
AGAGUUUGAUCCUGGCUCAGGACGAACGCUGGCGGCGUGCCUAAUACAUGCAAGUAGAACGCUGAAGACUUUAGCUUGCUAGAGUUGGAAGAGUUGCGAACGGGUGAGUAACGCGUAGGUAACCUGCCUACUAGCGGGGGAUAACUAUUGGAAACGAUAGCUAAUACCGCAUAACAGUGUUUAACACAUGUUAGAUGCUUGAAAGAUGCAAUUGCAUCACUAGUAGAUGGACCUGCGUUGUAUUAGCUAGUUGGUGGGGUAACGGCCUACCAAGGCGACGAUACAUAGCCGACCUGAGAGGGUGAUCGGCCACACUGGGACUGAGACACGGCCCAGACUCCUACGGGAGGCAGCAGUAGGGAAUCUUCGGCAAUGGGGGCAACCUGACCGAGCAACGCCGCGUGAGUGAAGAAGGUUUUCGGAUCGUAAAGCUCUGUUGUAGAGAAGAACGUGUGUAGAGUGAAAGUUCACACAGUGACGGUAACUUACCAGAAAGGACGCUAACUACGUGCCAGCCGCCGCGGUAAU